CCUUGUGUUAAUGAUUCUUGUAUUUUUUUUAGCCAUAUCCUCAAGUCUUCUCCAUUGGUGAGUUCAGUGUGAGCGUUAAAACGGAUCCUGCUCACAUGGGAACUUUUCCUGCCUGUGAAGACCAGUAUUGUUUUCCCGUCGGUGUGCUGCCAGUGUACACACGCAGCCAUUAAGCUCCUUACAUGGUUGCUCGCUAGAGCCGUCUGCUCCUACAUCCACGAGCUCUGCCACCUAGCCAGAAGGAGGGAAUGCUGUGGGAUCUAAUGCGCACGAGCCGUUUGAAGCUGCGGAAAAAAGCAGUUCAGAAACCUCCGUGCCGUCCUCCACCGGCUGCUGUCGGUGUGUUAGUGGAUUCUCCAGCCUUUCCAGCCGGGCGCGUGCCUCUGUUUUGCAUAUAUGCAUACGCUGUGUGGCGCUGGAAUGAAGGGGGCAUGCUAAACAAGCAAAUUUACAUGUCUAUGCAUAAUGGCAGGGGGCGCAGAGGAGGGCGCGUGCUGGCAGGGCUGAGGGAGGAGGGGAGAAGUACAAGAGGAUGUGAUGUAGGGGAACACCUGCACUGAAGGAUCUUGGAGGAUCUUGUAGAGGAACAUUAUGACAAGCCCCUGACAGCUUUCCCCCCACCACCGCCUCCUCCUGGGAACAUACCAGGAGGUGUGGCAUGAUUACGUUUCCUCGCCUUGCCCACGUGGAAACGCACCUCGCUGGCACAGAUUGGACAGCUCUGCUGAGUGUGGCACUGACAGUCCUGUGGGAAACCCACUGCUUCAUUCAGGCUUUUUCUCUCACGGGUCUUGGAUGGAUGGUAACGGUGACUGUGUGAAUGGACACUUAUGGAUGCAUUGUGAAAAUUGUUCUUUGUUCUGGAAGUUUAAACGAACAGGAAAUUACUUUGUUUUUCAGUAACAUUUUCAUACUGAAUUGAACAUUGAUGGCUUUUUCUGCUUCUUCACUUGCUGGGUAAAAUUUUGGACACACUUGACUGAAUUUGUUUCUCAUUUUCUUAAAAUCCUAUUUUAUCUCCAGACUAAUGACUUAACAAAUAUACAUUGCACUGCAUACUUAUUUAAAGUGAAACACUAUUUUAAUUAUUUUCUUUUUUUCUGGAAAAGUUGGAACAAGCAGUGAAGGAAAAGCAGCCAUCACGUUACCAGCACAAAUGGGAAUUCCUUCAAUAUUGAUGUAAAAGAAUCCCAGGAUGCACCCUGUGAAGUUGGCUGAGAGCUGGAAUCUGGCUAUAUUGAGAAAACAUUGUUUCCAUAGAAUCAUUUAGUUUUUUUUUUUUUUUCAUAAUUGGUCACUUUUCUAUUAUAACGUAAUGUGAUUAGUUGACUAAAUAAUACAAGUGAGGAAUCCUGUUCGAUAGUUAGAAAAAUUAAGUAAAUAUUACACCUUUCAAAUAUUAAUCAUUAGUUAGUUAAACUAGUGGCCACGACAUAUUUUAUUUAAUAAUAAUAAUAAUAAUAAUAAUUUCAUUAGAAUAUUUUAUUUAAAUAAGGCAUUUGGAUUCCUCACUUUGUCAACUAAUUGCAUUUUCAACUGUAGUGUUAUUACUAUUAAUAGUAAUGAUAAAGAAUGAGUUGCUGCAUCCAAACUUUGAGCGGUACUGUUUGCUUUCAGGAGGAUGCAUUAUACAGUAUACACUCUCAGUUGUAUGGCCUAAGCAGAAUGUAUGGCCUAAGUUCUCAUCUGAUCACAGCAUAUUACUACACAUACUCUUGUGGGGCACGAAAAUGUGUGCUACACAGUUUAUAAUUUCCAUUUCUUCAUUCAGCAGUUGCUUUUAUCCAAAGUGCUUUAUAGCGUGUUUAUUCUGAAUCAAAACUUUGUCCUUGGCGUCAUUAGUGUCCUGCUAUGGCAGUUUAGCUAUGUGUGUGCUAUGAUGUGAUGACUUAAAUGCAUUCCCAGAAGUUUCCAUAAAGUGUAUUCAUAAAAAAGAAAAGAAAAAGCUUUUCUUGGUUCUAAUUUAAGUGAAAAUGAAAUGAUACAAACACUUUGUUAUUGUGGCCAAAGGCCUACUGAAUCAACCUCCACUGUGUUUGUUUUUUUUAAUACCAAUUGUUGGUUGCACACAAUUAUCUGAAAACUGAUCAUAUCUGCGGCUAAUGAAAUGCAGUCUUCAGUCUGUGGCUCUUGAGAUCACCUUUGUGAUUCAAUCAGUCUUAUGUGCAAAUGAAAGUAAUUUAAAGGAUAAAGCAAAGCAUUAAUGAUGAGGUCAUUUACAGCAGACUCAUUAAAACACUAUUAUAUGCAAUUUCCUGUAACAAAUUUCAUUCCGAAGAAACAUUACAUUGGAAAUAAUAAACUAGCUUACUGCCGUUUAAUACAAUUAGUGUAACAUAAUGCCAUUAUGAGCCUGAAAUAGAUGCUGUCGCACAGAAGCAACAGCACUAACCUCUGUCUAAAUGAAAGAAUAUUAAAGUCAGCGGCGGUAUGACGUCUCUUUGUAAUAGCCAUGUCUGGGGUGCAAUAUGACAGCAGAAAUAUAAUGUUUCAUAAACUGACAGUCUCUGGGUUUGUGUUGCCUGAGGUCGCAUGGGGCGAACAAUAAAGAGUAAUUUGAUUGAUGGAAAAUUGGAGUGGCCCAUCCAACAUGUUUCACCCGAGGCCUCGCAAUAGCAUGUACACUGGCUGAUGAUGUUUCACGUUUUCAGAAACUCCAUUUGUUUUGUUCGGAUCUGUUGCUGUAUCUGGCGUUGGGGUUCGUCUUUGAUAUGAGACUUUAAUUGUGCGGCACGGACGCAUAUUAGAGGUGUAAUUGAAUAGAAUGAAAGAAACAAAAAAGAAGAAAGCCGAAGAUGGAUUGAGUAAGGGCUCUUUCUUUUAUCAAGACGCCCAGGGAUCUUUUCACACUCUCCCACUCGCUCGCUCGCUCUCUCUCUUUCUCUCUCAGGCUGUGGCGUCUGGACUCUCUUCCUCUGAGUCAGCCAUGACAUCAGCAUCAGUAAAAACAGUUGUGAGUGAUAAAUAGAUGUAAAUUAUCAGGACCCUCAUCUCUGCUAUCCAUCAGAUGAGUCCAGCAUAAGAGGACAGAACGUUUGGAUGAGAAAACCUUUCUACCCAAACAAAAGCUUUUUUGUUGCAGUGAAUAUGUUUUUAAUAUUGAGGGGAAAAUGUCUUUCAGUGAUUGAUAAGGAAACAACAGGUUGAAAAGGUGCUGCUUUGCAACAGUUAACAUUUUUGUGGUCUUUUGUUGUCUUUCACCACUAAGAUUAUAUUUAUACAAAACACAUUAAGGCUGCUCUAUGCUUUAUUAAUUGUCAUCUAAAAAAUAGAAGUUUUUUUUUUUAAGCAUCUUGCGCCGUGGAUAUCUUCUUUUUAAGACCGUGUCAAGUUUAACUUUUAAAAAUUUGUUUGUUUAGCUGUUUUAAACAUAAUAAUGUGGCUUGUGUAAACAGCUGUUUAGUCUCAAGUUUUUUUGUAUGCAGGUUGCUGUUUUCUUCAUUGUGCAAAAUCCGCAAUAUGUCAUUUAAAGAGACAGUACACUCAAAAAUGAAAUAUUGUCAUGAAUUA
Long non-coding RNA from Carassius gibelio (silver crucian carp), 3510 nucleotides. RefSeq lists it as uncharacterized. The record is from RefSeq and is a predicted model, not a curated record. The transcript has 2 exons. Lineage: Eukaryota; Metazoa; Chordata; Actinopteri; Cypriniformes; Cyprinidae.